GGCCACAAGAAACUACCUUCUCUCUCUCUAUCAGUCAUCUGAUACAUGUAGAACUUGCACCUCCUCUAGUGACACAAUACAGUUAGUGCACAUUUACAACAUGAGCACACACAUUGUUCCUUCAAUAAAAAAACAAGGUUUUUUCUUUGUAUGGCACCUUUGAAGAUAAAAAUCACAAGGUUUUAUGGUGUAGAGGGAAAUAAUUCUAUGUUAAUCCUAUGUUCAUCGUCAAUGCUUGUUUUUGUUUAGUAGUUACAGGUUUUGCUCACAAGAGGGCAGUGUUAUGCCAGAAGCAAAGGGAAAGGUCACCUUGUCUCCAGGUGGAGAGAUCUGAUUAGUGUCAACCCGACAGCUGGUUCCUUUGUUUUUGCCUCAGUUUGUUUGCUCAGUGUUUGGCAACCACAGAGAUGUUUCUGGUGUGUUGACCCAAGGUGAGAUCUAAAACCUGCAGGGACACUGGCCCUCGUGGACUGGGUGUUUCUUCCCACCACAUCUCUCCAGGUCUCACUGUCAUUGCCCACGUGAGCGUCCCCCAGCAGAACGAGGGAGUGACCGGAAGGAGCACUCUCCACCACAUUCUCCAAGGACUCCAUAUGGGUGGGUAGUCUGGACUGUAGUUUGGUGCAUAAGUACAGACAACAGUAAGGACCCGUCCCCCCACAUGUAGGCAGAGGAAGGCUACCCUCUCGUUUACUGGGAUAAACCCCAACGCACAGGCACCAAGAUGAGGAGCAACUAGUAUGCCCACCUCUGCUCGGCGCCUCUCAGUGGGGGCAACUCCAUAGUUUUAGUGUCCAGCCCCUCUCCGAGUAACUGCUUCUGGAGCCAGAGCCAUGCAUCAAGAGCUCAACAUGUGCUGGAGAGGGAGCAGAUAAAGGAGGACCAAUAGAGGCCCGAGCACAGAACCUUGUGGGACACCAUGGGUG
This is a non-coding RNA of Nothobranchius furzeri (turquoise killifish), 926 nucleotides long. The record is from RefSeq and is a predicted model, not a curated record. NCBI's taxonomy places the organism in Eukaryota, Metazoa, Chordata, Actinopteri, Cyprinodontiformes, Nothobranchiidae.